RNAcentral lists this ribosomal RNA (476 nucleotides) under uncultured organism. RNAcentral describes it as "partial 16S ribosomal RNA". It matches the Rfam family "Bacterial small subunit ribosomal RNA", at positions 332 to 800 of the family's 1533-position model. The record is from RNAcentral.
UACACUCCUGCGGGAGGCAGCAGUGGGGAAUAUUGCACAAUGGGCGCAAGCCUGAUGCAGCCAUGCCGCGUGUAUGAAGAAGGCCUUCGGGUUGUAAAGUACUUUCAGCGGGGAGGAAGGCAAUACGGUUAAUAACCGUGUUGAUUGACGUUACCCGCAGAAGAAGCACCGGCUAACUCCGUGCCAGCAGCCGCGGUAAUACGGAGGGUGCAAGCGUUAAUCGGAAUUACUGGGCGUAAAGCGCACGCAGGCGGUCUGUCAAGUCGGAUGUGAAAUCCCCGGGCUCAACCUGGGAACUGCAUUCGAAACUGGCAGGCUUGAGUCUGUAGAGGGGGGUAGAAUUCCAGGUGUAGCGGUGAAAUGCGUAGAGAUCUGGAGGAAUACCGGUGGCGAAGGCGGCCCCCUGGACAAAGACUGACGCUCAGGUGCGAAAGCGUGGGGAGCAAACAGGAUUAGAUACCCGGGUAGUCCCAUGA